RNAcentral lists this ribosomal RNA (639 nucleotides) under uncultured Achromobacter sp. RNAcentral's name for it is "bacterial SSU rRNA". It matches the Rfam family "Bacterial small subunit ribosomal RNA", at positions 9 to 643 of the family's 1533-position model. The record is from RNAcentral. Lineage: Bacteria; Pseudomonadati; Pseudomonadota; Betaproteobacteria; Burkholderiales; Alcaligenaceae.
GAGUUUGAUCCUGGUUCAGAUUGAACGCUAGCGGGAUGCCUUACACAUGCAAGUCGAACGGCAGCACGGACUUCGGUCUGGUGGCGAGUGGCGAACGGGUGAGUAAUGUAUCGGAACGUGCCCAGUAGCGGGGGGUAACUACGCGAAAGCGUAGCUAAUACCGCAUACGCUCUACGGGGGAAAGCAGGGGAUCGUAAGACCUUGCACUAUUGGAGCGGCCGAUAUCGGAUUAGCUAGUUGGUGGGGUAACGGCUCACCAAGGCGACGAUCCGUAGCUGGUUUGAGAGGACGACCAGCCACACUGGGACUGAGACACGGCCCAGACUCCUACGGGAGGCAGCAGUGGGGAAUUUUGGACAAUGGGGGAAACCCUGAUCCAGCCAUCCCGCGUGUGCGAUGAAGGCCUUCGGGUUGUAAAGCACUUUUGGCAGGAAAGAAACGUCAUGGGUUAAUACCCCGUGAAACUGACGGUACCUGCAGAAUAAGCACCGGCUAACUACGUGCCAGCAGCCGCGGUAAUACGUAGGGUGCAAGCGUUAAUCGGAAUUACUGGGCGUAAAGCGUGCGCAGGCGGUUCGGAAAGAAAGAUGUGAAAUCCCAGAGCUUAACUUUGGAACUGCAUUUUUAACUACCGGGCUA